UACGGGGGGGGUAAGCGUUGUUCGGAAUUACUGGGCGUAAAGGGCUCGUAGGCGGCCAACUAAGUCAUACGUGAAAUCCCUCAGCUUAACUGGGGAACUGCGUGUGAUACUGGAUGGCUUGGAUUUGGGAGAGGGAUGCGGAAUUCCAGGUGUAGCGGUGAAAUGCGUAGAUAUCUGGAGGAACACCGGUGGCGAAGGCGGCAUCCUGGACCGAUACUGACGCUGAGGAGCGAAAGCCAGGGGAGCAAACGGG
Molecule: ribosomal RNA, 253 nt
Filed under: uncultured bacterium
Lineage: Bacteria
Description: partial 16S ribosomal RNA
Rfam family: Bacterial small subunit ribosomal RNA
Source: RNAcentral